AGAAAAUUUACCUCGAUUGGCGGUCGAAAAAUUCUCCGGUGCGGCGGCGGGUGGCGGCGGCCGGCUCCUCCGGCGUCUGGUUCUUCUUCUCCGGCGAGGCACUGGCGGCUAGGGUUUUGUGGUCAGGUGUGGGUGGGGUUAUUUAUACCCUUUGCCUUUUAAUCUCAACCCGUCCAUCAAGAUUAUAUCUGGACCGUCCGAUCGCGAUUUAAUUGGGAUUAAAUCUGGGUCGUCCAUCGCGAUGGGAUCUGGGCCGUCUGUGCCUGAUUGAAUCUGGGUCGUCCGUAUGCAUGAAAUCUGGGCUGUCCGUGCGCGGGAACGGAUCUGGACCAUCCGAUCGCGCGCACGCGGAUCGCCCACGUGGCCCGUCCCGUGUCAGCAUUUCCUUGCCACGCGGCGUGUCCUGGUUGGCCGGGGCUUCUGACCGGGCUGCUGACAUGGCUGCUGAUGUGGCACAACUUUUUU
This 465-nucleotide long non-coding RNA is filed under the name Carica papaya (papaya). Its description in RNAcentral is "long non-coding RNA (CPAP_LNC012152)". The record is from RNAcentral. Lineage: Eukaryota; Viridiplantae; Streptophyta; Magnoliopsida; Brassicales; Caricaceae.